RNAcentral lists this ribosomal RNA (465 nucleotides) under Vreelandella stevensii. RNAcentral describes it as "partial 16S ribosomal RNA". It matches the Rfam family "Bacterial small subunit ribosomal RNA", at positions 338 to 795 of the family's 1533-position model. The record is from RNAcentral. Lineage: Bacteria; Pseudomonadati; Pseudomonadota; Gammaproteobacteria; Oceanospirillales; Halomonadaceae.
CCUACGGGUGGCAGCAGUGGGGAAUAUUGGACAAUGGGCGAAAGCCUGAUCCAGCCAUGCCGCGUGUGUGAAGAAGGCCUUCGGGUUGUAAAGCACUUUCAGUGGGGAAGAAAGCCUUGGGGCUAAUACCCUCGAGGAAGGACAUCACCCACAGAAGAAGCACCGGCUAACUCCGUGCCAGCAGCCGCGGUAAUACGGAGGGUGCGAGCGUUAAUCGGAAUUACUGGGCGUAAAGCGCGCGUAGGCGGUCUGAUAAGCCGGUUGUGAAAGCCCCGGGCUCAACCUGGGAACGGCAUCCGGAACUGUCAGGCUAGAGUGCAGGAGAGGAAGGUAGAAUUCCCGGUGUAGCGGUGAAAUGCGUAGAGAUCGGGAGGAAUACCAGUGGCGAAGGCGGCCUUCUGGACUGACACUGACGCUGAGGUGCGAAAGCGUGGGUAGCAAACAGGAUUAGAUACCCUUGUAUUC